GAGAGGCUGUGGACCAAGUGCGUCAGUACUGAGAGUGGUAGUGAGGGUCCCAGGCUGGUGCAGCAUGAAGAGUACCACAAGAAAUGCCCACCUGUGAGACCGCUGAGGCCGGGCAGCGCCUAUCCACCUCCCCACCCACUUUUUCUCAGAUCACAGGCCUGGGAUCUUGGUACAGUCCAAAUGGUGGGGAAAGAGCAUGGAGAAUAACAAAUACAGAACACUUCUUGUUGACUUCUUCAGUGCUUGUCACGGAUUGGAUUCCCUGGGAAGCAGAUGCUGUGUUGGAGAUGUGCACAUCACAAUGUUAUUGCAGGAGCAUGUUCUUGGGAAUACAAAUGUGGGGGAGUGAAGAGAAGAAAGCAGGAUGAAGCAGAAGGAAAAGAGGAGCUGCAAUCCAGUGCCCAAAGAGCUGUAGAACUGAGAUCACUCUGAAGAACUGUCCCAAACUGGAAGAAGAGGGGCAAGUAAUUAUAAUACCCUAUUGAUAAUCAUUGGAUGAGAGCUUCCCUGGGGAAGGAGGCAUUACUUUGUUCAUGGUGGGUCCCUUAAGCUAACGCAGUUUCAUCACAACGAUGCUCUCAAUCUGGAGUACACACAUCAAGAGAUGGGCAGACCCUUCAGGAGAGGUUUAAUGCAUCCAGUACACAUCGUGGUCGCUCCGCACAUGCUGGUACCCCCUGCUCCAUUAGCAGAAAUUGCUAAUUCUGAAGGUCUCCCCAUUUAAUGUAAUCCACCUCUCCCUCAUUUAAUCACAAAUACAUUCACGCCCUUCCCAGCAGGAGACAACUGAAUAUCACGUUGUGGGCUGUUCUUCAGGUACGUUCAGGUGAUAUCCAUUCCUCUUCUAGGUGCAGGUUCUCAAGGUCUACUAGCCUGUGGGCAAUGGGAGAUUGGUUAAACGAAUUGAGACACACUCAUAUGGUAGAUCAUUAAAACUAAAGUUGUAGAAGAUAAUCAUUAUAAGAGAAAAAGCUUCUGGGAUGUUGUUAAGGGGAAGAAGAUAAUAAAACAAUGUAUACCAUAUAAUUCCACUUCUGGGGAAAAAACAUACAUAUGAGAAAAAUCUGUAAGAAGGUACAUUAAAAUCCAGUAGUUACUUCUGGGGUGGUAGGAUUAUUGGUUAUUCUACUCUUUCUCCUUUUCUUUAAAUAUGUUUUCUAGAUCAGACAAAAAUAAUGUUACUUUUGAAAUACUGAAAAUAUUAUUUUUCCUCUAAAAAUUAUAGAUGUCUUAUGAGGAGUAUGUUUGUGGCUACAUUAGUCAAUUAAUGAUUGCUUGACCACUAGUUGGAGAAAUCAGGAAUGAGACUUUAAGUGGAGCUCGUAUGUUAACAGUGGCGGCUUCAGAGCCUGGAAGAUUUAGGAAAGGACUAGUCUGGGUAAAAGGAGAAGGUUUAGACCUAUGCUGUUCAAGACAGAGGCCACUAGCCACAUGUGACCACUGAGCACUUGAAAUAUGGCUAGUUCAAAUUGAGAUGUGCUUUAAGUGUAAAAAAAAAAUAAGAUUUCAAAGAUUUAGUAUUAAAAAUAUUUUAAAAUCCUCAAAAAUUUUUAAUAUUACAUCUUGAAAUAAUUAUAUUUUGUAUAUAUUGGGUAAAUAAAAUAUAAUAUUAAAAAUGAUUCACAUCUUUGUUUUGUACCGUGCUGAUUUAGAUACUUGUCAGGAAAUGUAAGUUCUCUGAAACACCCCCCAAAGGGAAAAGAAUAUGAAAAAGCAUUUGCCUCACAGGAAACCUGCCAACCUUUCUGUUUUACUUGGUGCUUUAGUAGGACAACCACUGGAAAGGGCAGUUUGUUGUCAAAUGAGCAUGUCAAAUGAACUCCAACCACUGCAAGGCAAAAUGAAACCCACGCUACCUAAAAGGUGUAGAUAUCAGUCCAUGUAAUUGAAAUCUGUCGACUUGGGGGUAAGUUAAAGAAACACCGUGUUGUUGUAGAAGGCCAUUGACAUCUUCUCCUGGUAAAACCCCCAGAGGGUGCUGUCUUAAGGUGUUGGACAGAAACUGCCCCAUGGCAUCUACACACUGGAUGUUGAUUUGAGUUAAACUGAGCAUUUGACAGAAGGAUUCUGACCCAUUCCCUGGAGUGAUUUGGGAAGGUAUUUAUAAAAAGGAAUGAUGUGCUCCAGUGAUUUACAAUAAUGGCAUAUAUUGUUUUGUCUUUGGUUUGUUUCUUGAUUGUAAAUAUUGGUCAGUGUCCAAAAUUAAGAUGCAAUCACUGGUUACCCCAACCUGGGAUGUUUAUUUGGAAAAACACAAAGUGGUUUAAAAUUCAUACAAAUCACUCUAAACCUGGGUACACUCUUUUUCUUUAAAUCUUAGAUUCUGCUGUCAGAUCAAGAGAAAAAGGGAAAGCUUUCAUAUUGCUCAAAAUGAUUUUUUAAAAUUUCCUUCAUUUCUUACUUCCUUCUCAACUCUUUUCCACUCUAAAACAUUCUCAACUCCCUAACUCAUUAAGAUAUUUUAUUCAUAAAGAGAACUUAAAUUAAGAUUUAAAUAAAUAUUUAUUAAACUGUUUUCCAGAUUUACAAAAUCCAGCUGGGUAACUCAUUGAAAAUAAGUACUGUGUAAUCUGUUGUCUAGUAAAAAGGGUUUGAACAGGAUGUUUAGGCCACAUCUCAGCUCCAUCAUUCCUUCUGGUAUCCUGGCAUCACUGGGUAAGUUCACAGUUUAAGGAAGGAAUCUGAGGUGGUAGAACCAGGUGUGCUGGAGAGGCAGCCUAGGUCAGUGGCUAAGAGUGAAAUUCUGGCUUCACCACUUUCUAGCUCUUACAACCUUAGGAAGGUUAUGUAAUUUCAUAUUAUUAUUAUUAUUAAAGCCUUAUGAUAUAGUUAUUAUUAUUAUCUCCAUUUUAAAGAUGAGAAAACACAGAGCACAAAACCAUAAAGACUGUGUCUGGGAUGCAGUAAGUGUUAUGUAAGGGUGUUAAGCAAGUAAGCAUACAAAAUGCAGGACCAAAAGAAGCAACACCAGCCCCCAAACUACACCAUGUGAAUUUCCAAAGAACCAAGUGUUCACACUACAUCAAAACGAGCCUGUUGAAUCUUUUGGACUCUGAGAAAUAAAGCAUAGUUAUUAUCAAAUUAAGAUUUAAAUUCAAUUCCUCAGCUGCGUCUUGAUCACUGGAUACCACUUUAAUAAUCACAUUAUUAAAGAAAGUUCCAAGUUUGGGGUGGAAUACUGCAGAUGAGGAAAGUAGAAAUUACUGCUAUAUUAUGAUCUACACUUUGUCUUAAUAUGAUCUGGCCCAUAUAAAAAUGCUCCAGAACAGUUGCAAAAUAUGGAUAUUUUUCUUUGAAAACCAGCCUUUUGUCUUUAUAACUUACAAAGCCAUUUUUCCCAGUCCACAAAGCUAUUUGGUCACAAAUUUAAGAAACCAGUGAUUCCUGAGAUAUAUGUGCUUUCACACUUCAGGAAAUAAUUUCAAAAUGAUUUUGGCAGUCUACCCAUUUUUAUAAAGAUAAAAAACUAAAAUAUUAUUUUGUCUUAGAAAUAAGUAUUAAUAGAGACAUUAUUAUAUCUUUGCCCCUAGAGCUUUAGAAGCAAAGAUUUGUCUUUCUCUUCCUCUCUCUCUCACUCUUCCCUAUUUCCUCCUUCCUGGUGAGUCUUACUUCUGUAUACUAGAGUAAUUAUAUCUAUUUUUUUGAAUGCUUUUGUAUGUAUAUUAUAAAGUGUUUCCUUUCUUGUUCUCAAUUCAAAUGGAAUACUGAACUGUGCUCUCUGUAUACUAAGUUAACUGGGGCCUGUCGGGGGGGUGGGGGGAGGGGGGAGGGAUAGCAUUAGGAGGAAAACCUAAUGUAAAUGAUGAGUUAAUGGGUCCAGCAAACCAACAUGGCACAUGUAUACAUAUGUAACAAACCUGCACGUUGUGCACAUGUACCCUAGAACUUAAAGUAUAAUAAAAAAAAAAAUUUAAAAAAAAAUUUUGCCCAGCUCGUUUUUUUUCUUUAACUAGAAUACUAAAGAGAUACAAUGAUCUAUUUUAAACAAAGCUAUUUGUCUUAGUAUUUUUUAAAAUAGUACAAGGUGGAAAACAAGCUCAGGGUCUAUCCCUAUCAGAAUAGUCAAACAACCAGAGUUCAUGCAUACUCUAGUAUAAUCUGCAUCUGCUUAAAAAUUUGAAGUCACAUAUACUAAUUUUAAAAAGCCAAUUCCGACACAUUUUAAGAGGGAAACGAUGCAGAUUUUCCGCUCUAGCUCUGCUAUGGUUUGAUUCUUUGUCUCUUCCAAAACUCAUGUUGAAAUUUUAUCCCCAGUGUGGCAGUAUUGAGAGGUUAGGCCUUUAAGAGGUGAUUGGAUUGUGAGGGUUCUGACACGAAUAGAUUGAUCCAUUUGUGGAUUAAUGGGCUAUCACAGGAGUGGAAAGAGAGGAAGAGAGAUCUGAGCUAGCACACUUAGAAAGCUUGCCAUGUGAUACCCUGUGCCACCUUGGAACUCUAUAGAGAAUCCCCACCAGCAAGAAGGCCCUCACUAGAUGCAGACCCUCGACCCUGGACCUCUCUCAGCCUCCUUAACUGUAAGAAAUAUAUUCUUUUCUUUAUAAAUUACCCAGUUUCGGGUAUUUUGUUGUAAGCAACAGAAAACUAAGACAAGCUCUCUUUAUAUAUGUGUGUGUAUAUAUAUAUAUAUAUAUAUAUAUGUAUUUUUUUUCUGUGUAGCAAAAUCCCAUUUAUGUUUUUUCUCAAUGAAUAGAAGGCCUGAGAAGAGUUAACCUUUCUGAAGAUACAGCUAUGAGUGUGCCAGUAGUAAUGGGAUAACCUUUUACUCUGUAUUGCCAGAAUCUUUCAAAAGGACAAAUUCAUGUAUAUUUUGUAUUAUUAUUUCUUAAGUCUGUGGUCUGCAACAGAGAAUAAAAAGCUGUUUCAUAUCUUCUGUGUGUGCAAGGAACACAGCAGGAUUCUGAAGAGGAAGUUUGCCAUUCUCUGCUUGUCAAGGCUCCUCUCCAAGCCCAUGAUCACCCUUCCUUUUUAGCAGCAUUCUGAAGACCCCUGCUGGGAUGGUCUACCGUGGAGAGAGCACCGUCCACCAUUCCAAAUUUAUUGCUGCCUUUCGUCUAUCAGAAUUUAUCUGCCCCAUUCCCUUUUUGUUUGCCUUGCUUUCUUCCCCAAAAGGUGAAAGUUGAUACUAAUUAAGUGCUAUCUCCAAAGGCCUCUAAAAAUAGAGCAUAAAGCAAUAAAUAACAUCAUACAAGAAUAAAUCAACAGAGUUGAUAAGUCAUUUUCUGCUAAGAAAUAUGAACUGGCUCAAUGUACAUAAAAAUUAGAUGUAAGAGUAUCUGUUUUGGGUUGCUUCAGGUGUGAGAUAGGGAUGAUGCUCCAGUAGCCAAUACCACCCCAAAAACACAGGUAUGAAAGAUCUCUCCAUACUUUUUCUCUACUGUGCUGACAGUCCCUUUAGACUUACUUGUAUAUCAAGGUGUUUUAAAGACAGUAUAUUCUUGAAGUGGCCAAGCCACAGGGUUGGGAAGACAUGAAGCAUUUGCUCCUGAGAUGACUGGAAGGUCCAGAACUCUGAGUGUAGGCAAGACCACUAACAUCUUUGGCUCAUGAGAGGCAGCCAGUCCUGGCAAGUCACUUCAUAUGUGGGUAGAGGUUGCAUCUCUGGUCCAGCGGAGCCCCUAGUGCCAACUCCUCAGAUGCACUGUCCUUCCUCCUCACUCUAUCACACUCCUUCGUCAUCCUUCCUGUAAGCUUGACACCUACCGAACUACCCUUUUAAUGUCACACUGUCCCAAGAUUUACCCUCAAGAAAUAACGCCAGAAAGUCCAC
RNAcentral lists this long non-coding RNA (5767 nucleotides) under Homo sapiens (human). Its description in RNAcentral is "HSALNT0381651". The record is from RNAcentral. Lineage: Eukaryota; Metazoa; Chordata; Mammalia; Primates; Hominidae.